Molecule: long non-coding RNA, 2597 nt
Filed under: Mytilus galloprovincialis (Mediterranean mussel)
Lineage: Eukaryota; Metazoa; Mollusca; Bivalvia; Mytilida; Mytilidae
Source: RNAcentral
GUAGUCUAUUAUAUAAUAAGUUCAACUGUUCAUGCUGUUGGCGGCAAUUUCAAAUUAGAAAAAGAAAUUUUCGUAGCUUUUCAAUUUGGAGGCAGGUGUGCAAAUUAGCGGUGGUCCGAGUUCCGCGACCUUCCACUUUUGCAAGCGGAAUUUCGACUAGGAUAGUUGGUUUCUAGCUACGCCCGACGUAGUCACCUUACAUUUGAAAGAAAAUAAGAAAUUACUUUGCAAACCUUUUCACCAUGUUCACCAAAGUCUCCAAUUAAACGAGCUAAAAACUUAUUUUUAUCAUUAUUAUUCAUGACGGCGAUGUUCAUUUUGUUCAACCGCUAGCUUUAUACAGAAAAUCGCCGACAAAUAUUGUAUAAAUUCGAGUAAAAUCGUAUCUGAUUGACAAAAACGACAUUGUAAACACAUAACAAUGGCGGCCGUGAAGACAAAAUUUUACAAAAUCGGAUCCGAUUCCGGAAGCGGAUAAGGGUAAUUCCGGGUUUGGCGAUCAUUUACAAAAUAAAUCCAAGCAGGUGAAAAAAUACAUCUAUGCAUGGUAAAUGAAUAUAAACACUAUUAUUGUACACCGAAAGAUAUAUGUACAAGAAAGAAAAAGCAGAAAAAUAUUUUAUUCAGAAACUCAAAAUUACUUUUUGACAAAUUUUAAUUUAAAAAUCCAAUGCAACGUGACAGCUGGGAACAGUAUAUCUAACAAUAUACAUGUUCAUGGUCACAGUCUAAAUUUUCUUUAUAAAUGAUAAAUGAUGAUAAUGCAUGUGAGAUGCUUUUAAAGUGUAAACAUAUUACUGCAAUUUCGAGGGUUAUUUGUUUUUUUCUCAAUUUUGAAGGGUCAAUUAAAGUAGCUUAAAGUUCCAUUCUUUAUUUUCACAAAUAAUGCAACUAUAUUAUAUAUACCUUAAUGUAAGUAAAUCAUAUGAUAUAUAGGUGGCAUUCUUUGGGCCACUUUACCCCCUCCUGUUUGAUAACUUGGAAACGGUCGAGCUCCCCACCCCUAAACCAUAUGAGGGACAGAUCCAGGAUUUUAGGUUAGGAGGGGCGCAAACUUAAAUUUUCGCCGAGCAGAGCGAGGCUAAAAAAAAAAUUGAGGUAAAAUUAUCGGAAUAUUCUUUAUUAAGCUGAGAAACAACCCAUACUUUGCAAAUUUAAGGGGGGUGCAAGCCCGCAACCCUCCCCCGUCUGAAUCCGCCACUGCAUAUAUUCAAGUAUAGGACAAUAUGAUAAAUAAAAAAUGAAAUAUAGGGGGAGUCCCUGGAGUUACCCCACCCCCUCCUGUUUGAGAACUUGGAAACGGUCGAGAUCCACACCCCUUAACCAUAUAUAUUCAUGUUUGUGACAAUAUGAAAAAUCAAAUGAAAUAUAGGAAGUGACGCUAGGGGUCACCCACCCCUCCAGUUUUAGAAUUUAAAAAUGGUCGAGAUCCCCAUCCCUAAACCCUAUAUAUUCAUGUAUGGGACAAUAUAACAAAUCAGAUGAAAGAUAGGGGGAGUCCCUGAGGUCACUGUUCACCCUCCUGUUUGAGAACUUGGAAAUGGUCAAGAUCCUUACCCCUAAACCAUAUAUACUCAUGUAUGGGACAAUAUAACAAAUUAAAUGAAAUAUAGGGAAGUCCCUGUGGUCAUCCCAACCCUCCUGUUUGAGAACUUGGAAACGGUCGAGAUCCCCACACCAAAACAAUAUAUAUUCAUGUAUGGAUCAAUAUAACUAAUUAAAUGAAAUAUAGGGGGAGUCCCUUGGGUCACCCUACCCCUCCUGUUUGAGAACUUGGAAACCAAUGAGAUCCCCACCCCUAAACCAUAUAUAUUCAUGUAUGGGACAAUAUAACAUAUAAAAUGAAAUGUAGGGGAAGUCCCUAGGGUCACCCACCCCCAGUGGCGCAUCCAGAAAUUUUCAUAAGUGGGGCCACUGACUGACCUAAGAGGGGCCCGCUCCAGUCACGCUUCAGUGAUUCCCUAUAUAAGCAACCAAAUUUUUUUCCCAAAAAGGGGGGGGCCGGGCCCCCUGCCCCCUAAAUCCUCUGCCUACCCCUACCUGUUUGAGAACUUGAAAACCGUUGAGAUCCCCACCCCUAAAUUAUAUAUAUUCAUAUGUAUGGGACAAAAUAACAAAUCAUUUACAUUUACUUUGGGCAAGUCAGUCAGACCUCACCUUUGAUCCCUGUUGUAGUGAACAUUUGUCUGAUUCAUGUCUCAUAACUUUUGUACUAUAGAACACAAACUCAGUUUUCUUUCCAGGGAAACCAGUCCAUUCAUACUAUUACAUGUUCAUACUAAGUCAAAUUGAACUUCUAGCAGUCAAAUAAAACCAAGGUUAACUACCAAGUAGAACAACUGCAAUCAUUGGGAACUUGUACCACUGCAGACUCACCAUAAAAAAUAUACAUUGAUAUAUGCAUUGCUUUUGAAACCUUGAUAACAUAUAAAUUAUUUGCCUUAAUAAAUAAAUCAUUAGAUAAACAUGAAUGUACUUUAUAUGAAUGUUUAAUGUUGAAGCAACAUUGCAACAGUUUUCAUAAUUACGGUUGCCUUGGUUUUUGGUUAACUGCCUUCAGCGCUUACAGCGCUUUGAUUAUUUUGCAGAAUUUGCUA